Molecule: ribosomal RNA, 253 nt
Filed under: uncultured bacterium
Lineage: Bacteria
Description: partial 16S ribosomal RNA
Rfam family: Bacterial small subunit ribosomal RNA
Source: RNAcentral
UACGUAGGGGGCAAGCGUUGUCCGGAUUUAUUGGGCGUAAAGAGCGUGUAGGCGGCUAGAUAGGUCCGUUGUGAAAACUCGAGGCUCAACCUCGAGACGUCGAUGGAAACCAUCUGGCUAGAGUCCGGAAGAGGAGAGUGGAAUUCCUGGUGUAGCGGUGAAAUGCGCAGAUAUCAGGAAGAACACCCGUGGCGAAAGCGCUCUGCUAGGCCGCAACUGACACUGAGGGACGAAAGCUAGGGGAGCGAAUGGG